UAGAGUUUUUCAAACUCCUAAACCCAUGUGAACUUACCAUUGUUGCCUCGGCAGAACCUACCCGGUACCCACCCUGGAGCGAGCUACCCUGUAGCUACCCGGGAACGGACUACCCUGUAACGUCCUGCCGGUGGACAUUUUAAACUCUUGUUAUUAUAAAAGUAAUCUGAGCGUCUUAUUUUAAUAAGUCA
RNAcentral lists this unclassified non-coding RNA (191 nucleotides) under uncultured Ascomycota. Its description in RNAcentral is "sequence contains ITS1". Lineage: Eukaryota; Fungi; Ascomycota. The record is from RNAcentral.